AGGCAGCACUGGCUUUGGUUUUUCAAAACAGGAAAAGGGUGAGACUAGUCAGGUGGAAGGGAAGAUGGUGGACAAAGACUGGGCAGGAAAAUCAUUCUGACAGACGGGGAGAAAGCAUUGGGAGCCUGCAGCCUCAACUUCAAUUCAAUUCUAUCUUUAUUGUCCACAGACAGCAAUGUUCGCCAUGGUUCUCCAAGCUAGGUUUGAGGUGUGUGCUAGAUGUUGCUAUUUAAUUGUAUGUUAAUCGUUUCUAACUUCGGGAUACAGUGUUUGAAGUUGCAUUCAAACACCUGACUUCAGUUUUCGAAGAGCUUACAAUCAUGCCGACAACCAUCCGUGGAGAUCAGUGGACAAAGGGCUGGACAACAGGCUGCACCGAAAAAACGCUUAGGUUGCCAAGAAAGAGGCCACUGUAAUAGAUGGGGGCUCAGGGCGGUACCACUCUGCUCAUCUGAUGAAGGUGCUCAUGGGUGAGAUUAAAACUUUGAAGACCGAGAUCAAGUCAUUGAAGGCAGACCAUCAGAAAGAUAAACAUUAUCUGAGGGCUGAAACACAGGCGACAGCUGAUGCAUUGGUCCAGAGCCAGGCGGUACUGGCGGAGAGCCACUCCUCAUUAGCGGAGAGUCAGGGGGCAUUGGCGAAGAGUCAGGUGGAGAAUGACGCGUUGAAAAGGGCGAGGAAGGAGAUGGAGUCAUAAUCCAUGCCAGGCUUACCAGUGAACCUCCGAGUGGUCAUCAUUAAUACUGUGUCUCAGAAGUUUACGUCCAUGACGGAUGCAACCCGGAAAAGCAUUAAAGACAGAGUUGACGAGUACUUGAGGUCACCGAGAAAGUCUGGACAUGGCCUGCUCUCCCUUAUAUAAGGAAUUAGGCCAUUUCCUAUGUUUACUACAGUAUGGACUGUAUGCUAUGUUUACUUGUCAGACUGCCUAAAAAACAAACAUCUUCAAAAUGCUUUAUUGUCCAUAUCUAAAAGCAGAUACUGUACAGUACUGUAUUUCUUCAUCAGUAUCAUUAUGCUUUCGUUAAUAAAAUAAUGAUAGAAAUACUCUUUAAAAAUAUCCAUAACGAAUGACUUGUUCAAAUAUGCCAUGAUUUUCUUGAGAUAUGUGUUGACUGAAUAUAAGCAAUUGAUGUAUGCUUUUUUGACUUUUUCUGAAUCACUCUAGGUUAAAUGACAACCAAACCUCCAAAAUAUUUUAAACAAAGUGAUAAUUAUUAUUAAUUAAUUUAGGAUUACAUCAAAGCCCCUUAGGGUCUGUGAGAAUAUAUAACAGAAAAUGCCUGUUAGAUAUUAAUUUAGAGUCCUCCAAUCCUCUAAAUGUAAUUAUUGGCGGAGAAUCACAUCAUUGAAAACGUUUUUUUAUCGAUAUACUGUGUGCCUACCAUAGGCAAAAUAAGUCUCACUAGUGUUGAGUAAUGUCUAAUGAAGGCAAACAAUUUAGAAUCCUCCAAUCCAAUAGCCUACUCCCGACGCCACGUUGUACUGGCUUUAUUUACAAAUUAGUCAGAAUGUGUCACGUUCUGACCAUAGUUGUUGUGUUUUCCUUGUUUUAGUGUUGGUCAGGACGUGAGC
Long non-coding RNA from Oncorhynchus kisutch (coho salmon), 1575 nucleotides. RefSeq lists it as uncharacterized. The record is from RefSeq and is a predicted model, not a curated record. Lineage: Eukaryota; Metazoa; Chordata; Actinopteri; Salmoniformes; Salmonidae. The transcript has 3 exons.